GAAUUCGCCCUUAGAGUUUGAUCCUGGCUCAGGACGAACGCUGGCGGCGCGCCUAACACAUGCAAGUCGAACGAGCGAGAGAGAGCUUGCUUUCUCGAGCGAGUGGCGAACGGGUGAGUAACGCGUGAGGAACCUGCCUCAAAGAGGGGGACAACAGUUGGAAACGACUGCUAAUACCGCAUAAGCCCGCGGGUCGGCAUCGACCAGAGGGAAAAGGAGCAAUCCGCUUUGAGAUGGCCUCGCGUCCGAUUAGCUAGUUGGUGAGGUAACGGCCCACCAAGGCGACGAUCGGUAGCCGGACUGAGAGGUUGAACGGCCACAUUGGGACUGAGACACGGCCCAGACUCCUACGGGAGGCAGCAGUGGGGAAUAUUGCACAAUGGGGGAAACCCUGAUGCAGCGACGCCGCGUGGAGGAAGAAGGUCUUCGGAUUGUAAACUCCUGCUGUUGAGGAAGAUAAUGACGGUACUCAACAAGGAAGUGACGGCUAACUACGUGCCAGCAGCCGCGGUAAAACGUAGGUCACAAGCGUUGUCCGGAAUUACUGGGUGUAAAGGGAGCGCAGGCGGGAAGACAAGUUGGAAGUGAAAUCCAUGGGCUCAACCCAUGAACUGCUUUCAAAACUGUUUUUCUUGAGUAGUGCAGAGGUAGGCGGAAUUCCCGGUGUAGCGGUGGAAUGCGUAGAUAUCGGGAGGAACACCAGUGGCGAAGGCGGCCUACUGGGCACCAACUGACGCUGAGGCUCGAAAGUGUGGGUAGCAAACAGGAUUAGAUACCCUGGUAGUCCACACCGUAAACGAUGAUUACUAGGUGUUGGAGGGUUGACCCCUUCAGUGCCGCAGUUAACACAAUAAGUAAUCCACCUGGGGAGUACGACCGCAAGGUUGAAACUCAAAGGAAUUGACGGGGGCCCGCACAAGCAGUGGAGUAUGUGGUUUAAUUCGACGCAACGCGAAGAACCUUACCAAGUCUUGACAUCCCUUGACGAUGCUGGAAACAGUAUUUCUCUUCGGAGCAAGGAGACAGGUGGUGCAUGGUUGUCGUCAGCUCGUGUCGUGAGAUGUUGGGUUAAGUCCCGCAACGAGCGCAACCCUUAUGGUCAGUUACUACGCAAGAGGACUCUGGCCAGACUGCCGUUGACAAAACGGAGGAAGGUGGGGAUGACGUCAAAUCAUCAUGCCCUUUAUGACUUGGGCUACACACGUACUACAAUGGCGUUAAACAAAGAGAAGCAAGACCGCGAGGUGGAGCAAAACUCAGAAACAACGUCCCAGUUCGGACUGCAGGCUGCAACUCGCUUGCACGAAGUCGGAAUUGCUAGUAAUCGUGGAUCAGCAUGCUACGGUGGAUACGUUCCCGGGCCUUGUACACACCGCCCGUCA
This 1382-nucleotide ribosomal RNA is filed under the name uncultured bacterium. RNAcentral describes it as "bacterial SSU rRNA". It matches the Rfam family "Bacterial small subunit ribosomal RNA". The record is from RNAcentral.